CCUACGGGAGGCAGCAGUGGGGGAUAUUGCACAAUGGAGGAAACUCUGAUGCAGCGACGCCGCGUGAGGGAAGACGGUCUUCGGAUUGUAAACCUCUGUCUUUGGGGAAGAAAAUUACGGUACCCAAAGAGGACUCUCCGGCUACCUCCGUGCAAGCAGCCGCGGUCAUACGUAGGGAGCGAGCGUUGUCCGGAAUUACUGGGUGAAACGGGAGCGUAGGCGGGCGAGAAAGUUGAAUGUUAAGUCUACCGGCUUAACUGGUAGCUGCGUUCAAAACUUCUUGUUUGGAGUGAAGUAGAGGAUGGCGGAAUUCCUAGUGUAGCGGUGAAAUGCGUAGAUAUUAGGAGGAACACCAGUGGCGAAGGCGGCCUGCUGGGCUUUAACUGACGCUGAGGCGCGAAAGCGUGGGGAGCAAACAGGAUUAGAUACCCCAGUAGUC
RNAcentral lists this ribosomal RNA (439 nucleotides) under uncultured bacterium. RNAcentral's name for it is "partial 16S ribosomal RNA". It matches the Rfam family "Bacterial small subunit ribosomal RNA", at positions 338 to 795 of the family's 1533-position model. The record is from RNAcentral.